AUGUGCCCCUUCAACAAGGAAGCACACUGCUGUCUUUGGGGAUCACUUCCUUCCCUGCUAAGGUCACAGAACGAAUUCUCCAUGCUGUGGCCAGAGUCUGGGCUUUCCCUGAUGGCCAAAGGCCGGCCUAUGGCAGGAACUCUGGAAUCCCUGCUGGCUCCCCUUCCCUCAACCUCCUCCCGACAGGAAUUCCAGGCCUAUUUCCCAUGGGGCUGCGCAGGGCCAGCUGCUGUGACCAGGACUCAGUCAGAAUCCCCUUCCGCAUCGUGGCUGCCCGCGGGUGGCAGAACUCCCACACCGCCCUUUUGUACUGAUGCGUGUCCUCCGUCCACGCUCCCGGGCACACAGGUCCCGUUCUUGCGAGUGAGCCAUUUCGGGUCCCACGCACGGCGCAGCUCGCGGAGCCUGUGCGCAGGUGCGCUCCCCCACCCCCGCAGAUCCAGCAGCGUCCCCCCCGCGCACUCACACACGGUCGCGCACACUCACGGUCACGCGCCCCGCAGGUGGAGCGGCCCCCCGCGGGCCCGCGGUGCCCCCCGCGCCCCUGCCGGGGUCGUACCUCUGCGGCGGGCUGUGCAGGGGCGCAGCGCCGGUCCAUGGAGCCCGAAGGCCGGCCUCCGCGGCCCACUCCAGCUCCCCGCCCCGCCGCGGCGACAGCGGCAGGUUCGAGUUCACAACUGCCAGGCCCGUCCCCAACCUCCCCCCGCCGGGUUCCCAGCGCCACGUGACUACAGGAGCUGCCGAGGGUCAGUCGCCGGCUCCCGCGGCCGCGGCCUGGGGGCGGGGAGGGACGGCCGGGGCCCGGGCGCGGGCCCCCACCUAGAGCGGGCCGGGUCACCCCCGCCGCUGCUGCACCAGGGCGGCGGAUCUCGGAGGGCCCGAUUCCGUUGCCAUGGCGACCACCAGCCCGGGUCUCUCCGGGACUGGCCGGAGCUCAAGUUUCCCGACCCUUUGUCCCUGCGGAGCACGCGCGUCCCCGGGCGACCGCGUGGCUGGCCUGUGGUCACCGGGGCUGGUCGGUCUUGGCUGGCUUAUGAGAGGCUCGGAACCCGUCGGGAGACUUCAAAGAGGGCUCUGGCCGCCCCCGGAGCGUCUUGCCCCGGGCCUUUCUCAGGCCGCGCACUCCCGCCGCAGUGCGGACGCUUGCGGGAGCGGCGGUCCCGGGACGGCGGUAGCGCAUCUGGAAGUCCCUAG
Molecule: long non-coding RNA, 1194 nt
Organism: Papio anubis (olive baboon)
Lineage: Eukaryota; Metazoa; Chordata; Mammalia; Primates; Cercopithecidae
Source: Ensembl